RNAcentral lists this ribosomal RNA (433 nucleotides) under uncultured bacterium. Its description in RNAcentral is "partial 16S ribosomal RNA". It matches the Rfam family "Bacterial small subunit ribosomal RNA", at positions 29 to 507 of the family's 1533-position model. The record is from RNAcentral.
AACGAACGCUGGCGGCGGGCUUAACACAUGCAAGUCGACCGGGCCUUCCGGGUUUAUGGGGGAUGGGCGAGUUACGGGUGGGGAAGUGACCCUUCUCUGCGGAAUCCCUUCGGGAAAUGGAAAUUAAUCCGGCAUAGGCCCUUGGGGGAAAAGAUUUAUCGGGGAAGGAUCGGCCCGGGUUGGAUUAGGUAGUUGGUGGGGUACUGGCCCACCAAGCCGACGAUCCAUAGCUGGUUUGAGAGGAUGAUCAGCCACACUGGGACUGAGACACGGCCCAGACUCCUACGGGAGGCAGCAGUGGGGAAUCUUAGACAAUGGGGGCAACCCUGAUCUAGCCAUGCCGCGUGAGUGAUGAAGGCCUUAGGGUUGUAAAGCUCUUUCAGCUGGGAAGAUAAUGACGGUACCAGCAGAAGAAGCCCCGGCUAACUCCGUG